Molecule: unclassified non-coding RNA, 253 nt
Filed under: uncultured Caryophanales bacterium
Lineage: Bacteria; Bacillati; Bacillota; Bacilli; Caryophanales
Description: uncultured Bacillales bacterium contains 16S-23S intergenic spacer region
Rfam family: Bacterial small subunit ribosomal RNA
Source: RNAcentral
UACGUAGGGGGCAAGCGUUGUCCGGAAUUAUUGGGCGUAAAGCGCGCGCAGGCGGUAAAAUAAGUCUGAUGUGAAAGACUGCGGCUCAACCGUGGAAGUGCAUUGGAAACUGUAUUACUUGAGUGCAGAAGAGGAGAGUGGAAUUCCACGUGUAGCGGUGAAAUGCGUAGAGAUGUGGAGGAACACCAGUGGCGAAGGCGACUCUCUGGGCUGUAACUGACGCUGAGGCGCGAAAGCGUGGGGAGCAAACAGG